AACUUGCUCCCAUCAAAACACGUCAAGGAAUCACACCCACCCAAAACACACGCGAGAGUGUACAAGGAAUCUCAUUACCAAAACCAUAACAUAUGCCCAUCCAUAACUCAAAAGCAUAUAUAUGGAUAUAAGUAAGGUGGACUAGCUAGGGGUCUGUAGCUAGUCCACAAGUAGGUAACAAGAAAAAUAGAAUAAACAAUUAUCAAGGUAUGGCUAGAAACAUAUGCUAUGCAAUCAAUCAUCAUCCAA
Molecule: long non-coding RNA, 249 nt
Filed under: Setaria italica (foxtail millet)
Lineage: Eukaryota; Viridiplantae; Streptophyta; Magnoliopsida; Poales; Poaceae
Description: long non-coding RNA (SITA_LNC003159)
Source: RNAcentral